Molecule: long non-coding RNA, 565 nt
Filed under: Marmota monax (woodchuck)
Lineage: Eukaryota; Metazoa; Chordata; Mammalia; Rodentia; Sciuridae
Source: RNAcentral
ACAGUUCCAAGGGGAGCAGGAAAGGGAAGGAGAAGGCCACAGAAAGGUGAAUCAAGCAGGGUCCCUUGUCCUCCUGAAGCAAUUAAAUCUCACUCCUCAAGAGUUUAUAUCAAAGAUGAGUCGACUUCAUGGGAGUUCUGCAGCAAUGAAUUGAGAAUAAAGACAUCAGACUUGGCCAGUAGCCCAGCUUCCUGAACAUUUCAACUGACAAAAUGUCUCAGCCUGAACACAAUCCCUCCACUAUGAGAUCUGCGGGUUCACUACUUAACACUGGCAACCAACUCGGAGGUGCUCACUGAGCAUAAUAAAUAAGUGGCUAUUGAGGUGGGGGAGGUGCUUCUGCUCCCGGGUGUUAGAGAAGAAAAGGCAAACUUCAGCUAUCAAAGUGAGCCAACAACUCAGUGAGGACAAAUGUCCCUAGUUCACGCAGAUGGCACAGCAGGACUUCCAAUGGGACUGAGACCACACACCACCCACUGGCACAUCACAUGCCCCUUGCAACACUAACUUGGUGCUAGGUUCUCAGAAAUGACCUGGAAGUUGAAACAGCAUCUCUUGAUUUUCC